Molecule: ribosomal RNA, 434 nt
Filed under: uncultured bacterium
Lineage: Bacteria
Description: bacterial SSU rRNA
Rfam family: Bacterial small subunit ribosomal RNA
Source: RNAcentral
GCACAAUGGGCGCAAGCCUGAUGCAGCCAUGCCGCGUGUGUGAAGAAGGCCUUCGGGUUGUAAAGCACUUUCAGUUGUGAGGAAGGUGGUGUCGUUAAUAGCGGCAUCAUUUGACGUUAGCAACAGAAGAAGCACCGGCUAACUCCGUGCCAGCAGCCGCGGUAAUACGGAGGGUGCGAGCGUUAAUCGGAAUUACUGGGCGUAAAGCGCAUGCAGGUGGUUUGUUAAGUCAGAUGUGAAAGCCCGGGGCUCAACCUCGGAACUGCAUUUGAAACUGGCAGACUAGAGUACUGUAGAGGGGGUAGAAUUUCAGGUGUAGCGGUGAAAUGCGUAGAGAUCUGAAGGAAUACCGGUGGCGAAGGCGGCCCCCUGGACAGAUACUGACACUCAGAUGCGAAAGCGUGGGGAGCAAACAGGAUUAGAUACCCUGGUAG